Long non-coding RNA from Carassius carassius (crucian carp), 592 nucleotides. RefSeq lists it as uncharacterized. The transcript has 3 exons. Lineage: Eukaryota; Metazoa; Chordata; Actinopteri; Cypriniformes; Cyprinidae. The record is from RefSeq and is a predicted model, not a curated record.
AAAUUAUGACGUUUUAUUUUUGGGUUAAAUAUUCCGGUAAAUAUGAGUAUAAAACUGAUUUUGGGAGGACUAGAUUAUGAAAUCAAUAAGUAAUGUAUUAAGUUAGUCAGUUGCUCAGACGUUUUCUUCUUAUCUGUUGCUGAGCAACGGACACGACGACAUCGUCAGGCCAAAUCUUCACUAGCAGAACAACCGCUAGAGGACACCAACACCUAAUUUACAGAGAACUCACUCGAUAUUCUCGCUCAAAAUAAGAAACAGCUCGAUAUUAUGCAGUUCAAAGUGUAAAUACAUACAUAUACUACUCUCACGAAAGAUAUAGUAAGACAGUGUGCGUCAAUCAGGCAUUGUGCAAUUCGCGCGCAUACAAACGUUUCACAGAGAACCGACAAGGUGAGUCUUUGGGUCAUGGAUCGGUGAGCUACAUGUCAGGAGACCAAACGGCCCCCUGAUUGACAGGAAAGAGAGACUUUAAUGCCGUGGAGACCAUCGAUGGAGCCAAGAGAGGACCUGGGUGAGGGGGAAUUGGAUUUUGCAGUUGCCGGGUCCUCAUGCUUUUUGAAGCCAAGAAAAGCAACCCAGCUGAACAAAU